Molecule: ribosomal RNA, 461 nt
Filed under: uncultured bacterium
Lineage: Bacteria
Description: bacterial SSU rRNA
Rfam family: Bacterial small subunit ribosomal RNA
Source: RNAcentral
UACGGGAGGCAGCAGUGGGGAAUAGUUGCACAAUGGGCGCAAGCCUGAUGCAGCCAUGCCGCGUGUGUGAAGAAGGCCUUCGGGUUGUAAAGCACUUUCAGUUGUGAGGAAGGUGGUGUCGUUAAUAGCGGCAUCAUUUGACGUUAGCAACAGAAGAAGCACCGGCUAACUCCGUGCCAGCAGCCGCGGUAAUACGGAGGGUGCGAGCGUUAAUCGGAAUUACUGGGCGUAAAGCGCAUGCAGGUGGUUUGUUAAGUCAGAUGUGAAAGCCCGGGGCUCAACCUCGGAACUGCAUUUGAAACUGGCAGACUAGAGUACUGUAGAGGGGGUAGAAGUUUCAGGUGUAGCGGUGAAAUGCGUAGAGAUCUGAAGGAAUACCGGUGGCGAAGGCGGCCCCCUGGACAGAUACUGACACUCAGAUGCGAAAGCGUGGGGAGCAAACAGGAUUAGAUACCCUGUAG